RNAcentral lists this unclassified non-coding RNA (2367 nucleotides) under Hevea brasiliensis (rubber tree). The record is from RNAcentral. Lineage: Eukaryota; Viridiplantae; Streptophyta; Magnoliopsida; Malpighiales; Euphorbiaceae.
AAAAUAAGUCCAACUGAAAUUGAAAAAUAAUCUUCGAGUGGAGCCCUCCAUUGCUAACACACUAUACACCAAACACUCUGAUUCUUCCAUUUCACACGCCAAUAUUAUACUUGUAAUAAUAAUAAAUAAUGAAUAGUAAAAUGAACUAUAAAGAAUUUUCCUCAAAUGAAAUCACUGCCUUUAUUAUUUCUUCAAUUCUCCUUUGCGCUUUCCAUUUUCUCAGGAAAAAAGUUAAAAAUACUAGGUGUAACAAUUAAUAAUAUUAGCCAAAAAAGAAAGACAGUGAAGCUAACGCCAAGCAGAUGCGACGGUGAGUGUUUUUCCCAUCCAACCGAAACCAACCCCACCAUUUUCUUCUUUAACAGUGAAACCUGUGUUCAACCGGUUUCCAGAACUCAGUCUGGCUUUCAUCGACUCUCCCACGUUUUGACUCAGUGGCUUCAACUCGAACCCUGCCAUUCCCAUCCGGGCCCGCCAUUUCCCAAACACUUCGCAUCUUUCCACACGGUCCCUACCUUCGCAAGCAACCGAGUUGGCGAGUUUCCGACCCAGUCCUUCUUCCACCUUCACUCUAUCUAAGUUCUCCCUCUGCAUCGUCGACUCAAUCGAGUCAAACAAUGCCCCAUAAUACGAGCAGGCCUCGUUCGCUCGCGCCAUGAAUGGAGCCGUAUUUGUGUUCAUUUCUUGCUCCACUAGCGUCACCACGCACGGCGCUAAACCCUUCACGCGCCGCAGAAGUUCGUCUCGAGGAUUCUCCGUGGAAACGCUCUCGUCCGGCAUUCGAUACAAGUUGAAUGCAAAAUUAACGGCCAAAGGCUCUUCAAGAUCGCAACCCAAUGAGUCGCGGCUCAACUCACCGAGUUUACAACUCACAACGUUGAAACGUAAUGAUACCCCAAACUGUUCUGCGAGUUGACUCAGGGUACUACCAACCACCUUCAACCUCUCUUUCUCUUCCCCUACAUUAUCAGCGACAGCCGUGAUCUUCACAGUGGAAGGCUUCCCAUUCAAACGCUCACGUAGCGCGUGCAGAAGAUUUACGUAUUGCCAUCCCUGCCCUAUGUCGAAAUCAAUAACAUGAAACUCGCUGCUGGAGUUGGGCUGGUCUACUGUAGCCUCAAGAAUUGCGAGAUUAGCGGCCAUGAACCCAAGUUUGAAACAAGGAGAGAGUUCAUACAGUAACUGGGUCGACCCAAUAUGUUCCUUGCUAUACAGCUCCGCCACUGGCGGCGGAUUCUCAACAGGGUUAACCCGCGAUUUGAGUGCCAGCAACAUGUACUCCAUCAACCUAUGUUCAGAAUUACCUCUCGGGUUCAAGACCUGCGAUACCCUCAUCAAGAUCUCACUCGCAACAUCGCUUUUGCCUUCGUAAAUGGCGGAAGCAGCGUCUAGAAGUGUUUGUUUUGAGCAAUUGUGGACCGGAGUGGUCACCGAUGUUGAGGAAGAGGAUGAAGAUGAGGACGAUGGAGUAGGAGAAGAAGAUAUUGGGUUGGGACUUGAAGAGGUGAUGAGAUUCUGUAUAGUUUCUGACCACUCGCUGUUAGUGCUAGUAAUCACCGAAACUGCAUCGCCUUCCUCGUCCUCGUUGUCAUCCAGAAGCUGCUUCUCCAGCUCUUGCAGUCGAUUCAUCAUCUUUUUUUUGGACUCUUGUCCUCCAAUAACUGCUCCUCCGCCUCCUCUGUUUUCACUUUGGAGCGUGUUCAUGUAAGGUACAGUAGAAGAGGUGUGGUUCGCUGAGUGAAUGGUGGGUCCGGACCCAAGACUGAUGGGCUGGGACCUAAACUGUUGAAGAAGAGGUAUACCGUAACGCCGAGACAAGGAUGGUAAUUCUGGAGAAAUGUUAGCCGAGAAUUCGAUGGGGGAGAGGGUAGAGAUUGGGGAUGUAUGUUGGUACAUCCUGGGCUUCACGGACCGAAGGAGACCAUUUAGUGCUGGGUGUAGGUUUGGCUGAUGUAGUUGUUGCUGUUGAUGUGCUUGAAAAUCGGCGAGAGUUCGCUUGCCGAUUACGCUUUGGGUUGUUACGUUCGAGGCGGAUGUUCGGUGUUGAGCGAUCUGAGAGGUAGGGUCUAGAAACAUUUGAGAGAGUUGGGUUCUAUAUGAAGGUUGUGAUGGGUUGUUGGAAUUCAUGUUCGUUAUGGAUCUACCCGCGAUGCCGGUGUAGAAAUCUGCGCCACCGCCGGAGAACCUUGAUGUCAUUUUCUCUCUCUGUGGAGGGAGUUAGAAAAGUUAGUGCUUAUAGAAACGCAUGAGACAUGGGAAGAGUUAACGGAGAAAUGAAUGGAAAGAAAAGGUUUGGGGUUUGAGAAAUGAUUGUGAUGAAUAUAAGGGUGAAAGCUUAAAAAUUCCAACUAGUUAUUAGCUCUCUGU